CACGCNGUAAACGCUGAGUGCUAGGUGUUAGGUCCUUUCCGGGACUUAGUGCCGACGCUAACGCAUUAAGCACUCCGCCUGGGGAGUACGACCGCAAGGUUGAAACUCAAAGGAAUUGACGGGGGCCCGCACAAGCGGUGGAGCAUGUGGUUUAAUUCGAAGCAACGCGAAGAACCUUACCAGGUCUUGACAUCCCGAUGCCCGCUCUAGAGAUAGAGUUUUACUUUUUGUACAUCGGAGACAGGUGGUGCAUGGUUGUCGUCAGCUCGUGUCGUGAGAUGUUGGGUUAAGUCCCGUAACGAGCGCAACCCUUAUUGUUAGUUGCCAUCAUUAAGUUGGGCACUCUAGCGAGACUGCCGGUAAUAAACCGGAGGAAGGUGGGGAUGACGUCAAAUCAUCAUGCCCCUUAUGACCUGGGCUACACACGUGCUACAAUGGUUGGUACAACGAGUCGCAAGCCGGUGACGGCAAGCUAAUCUCUGAAAGCCAAUCUCAGUUCGGAUUGUAGGCUGCAACUCGCCUACAUGAAGUCGGAAUCGCUAGUAAUCGCGGAUCAGCACGCCGCGGUGAAUACGUUCCCGGGCCUUGUACAC
RNAcentral lists this ribosomal RNA (593 nucleotides) under uncultured bacterium. Its description in RNAcentral is "bacterial SSU rRNA". It matches the Rfam family "Bacterial small subunit ribosomal RNA", at positions 796 to 1388 of the family's 1533-position model. The record is from RNAcentral.